RNAcentral lists this ribosomal RNA (273 nucleotides) under uncultured bacterium. RNAcentral describes it as "partial 16S ribosomal RNA". It matches the Rfam family "Bacterial small subunit ribosomal RNA", at positions 524 to 796 of the family's 1533-position model. The record is from RNAcentral.
GACAGAGGGUGCAAACGUUGUUCGGAAUUACUGGGCGUAAAGCGCGUGUAGGCGGCUUGGCAAGUCGGGUGUGAAAGCCCUGGGCUCAACCUAGGAAGUGCACUCGAAACUGCUUCGCUCGAGUACCGGAGAGGAAAGCGGAAUUCUCGGUGUAGAGGUGAAAUUCGUAGAUAUCGAGAGGAACACCAGUGGCGAAGGCGGCUUUCUGGACGGUAACUGACGCUGAGACGCGAAAGCGUGGGGAGCAAACAGGAUUAGAAACCCCAGUAGUCC